Acanthosepion pharaonis is the source of this 112-nucleotide non-coding RNA. The record is from the annotation of a GenBank genome assembly. NCBI's taxonomy places the organism in Eukaryota, Metazoa, Mollusca, Cephalopoda, Sepiida, Sepiidae.
AUAUGGUCAUAUCACGUUGAAACACCAGUUCUCGUACGAUUACUGAAGUUAAGCUACGUCGAGCCUAGUCAGUGCCAAGGUGGGUGACCGCUUAGGAAUACUAGGUGUUGUG